AGUUGCGGGGUGACGUCAGACGCCGGCGAGGCGCGCUUUCGAGUCGCUUGUUCUUCCUCUGUGCAUCCGCUCUCCGCCUGUUAUAUUCAGAAAGUAUUAGCUGGCAGAUGAUGAUAUACAUGUAUCUGAAAAUGCCUUAUGUAAAAUGGAGAUACAAUGAAACAGGACAUGAUAUUAGAAGAUAACCCAACUUCUGUUUAAGAAGAAAUAGCACCCUGGGUGCCUGAACAUGACUGGGCUACGUAAAUAUCAGGGAAGGAUGGAUAAACUGGCGUUCCAAUCUACAUGCAUUCACUGGGAAGGAAGAGAAAGGGGUGUACCGAGUACCAGGGCUUUUGCUGGCUUAGCUCAUUAUUCUCAGAAACAACCCUAAGAGUUGUUAUCCCCAUAGACAAGGGAACUGGGGUUCCUAGAGUUUCACUGUCUGUUCAUUCCUUAACAACCACCUGUGAUCCCCUCUGCAUCGGGCCCAGUGCUAGAUUCCGGGAGCACAGCAGUGAGCCAGGAAGACCUGGUCUCCACUUUCAGGGAAUCAACAUCCCAGUGAGGCAGUAAAUGGAGAAAGAAACACACACAUUAGCGCAAUAAGGAAGCAGGCAGAAUGAUGUUAGGUCUCCCCACCUACCCAGAGAUAGGAUGCACCUGCCGUCUGCUGACGGGGUGAGGGAAAGGUUCAGACCACGGGGCUAAAAGAGGUAACCAGCUUGUUCCAGCUUGCCUGGAACUUUCUAGGUUCUAGUCUCACGAGUCAGAAACCUUCUCAUUCGCAGGCAAACCAGGACAGGUGGUCACCCUAGAGCUCAAUUCUGGCAGGGCUGAGAUCUAAACCCACUUCUGUUUGAUGACAAGGCCCGGGCUCUUCAGUUCACACCAGCCUGAUGUCCAGAGGUUGGCCUCUAUCUUCCCUAUGACGGACAGCCUAUCGUGGCAAUGCUGCCUAGAAAUUAAGCAAGGCUGGGAAGAAUACUGGCAGGUGAUACCUUCUUUAACAAAGGAUUUGCUGGAGCCCUGAGUCUUCACGCUGUUCUUUCCUCCUCUGUGACCUUAUUGGAAGGUGGGAUGGAGAAGUGGGAAAGAGGGUCCUCUAAGCUUCUCUAUCCCUGCGCUUCCCUGGAUGGGUACAGUAUCAGGGACAGAAGACCAUACACUGAACAGGAAUAUCCAGGGAGAGAACUGUUUCAGGCUAAACAACUAGAGGAGGUACAGGCAUAACUCAUCUUACUGCACUUCGCUUUAUGGUGCUUUACACGUCGCAUUUUUCACAAAUUUAAGGUCUGUGGCAACGCUGCAUUGAGCAAGUCUGUCGGCACCACUUUUCCGACAGCAUUUCCUUGCUUUGUAUCUCUGUGUCACACUCCGGUAAUUCCUGCAGUAUUUUAAAUCCUCCACCAGCAAAAAGAUUACAACUCGCUGAAGGUUCAGAUGAUGAUGAGUGAUCAUUUUUCAGCAGUAAAGUAUUUUUAACUAGGUGUCACAUUGUCUUUUUAUACAUAAUGCUAUUGUACACUUAAUAGACAGUAUAACUUUUACAUGCACUGGGAAACCAAAAAGUUCACAUGAUUCACUUUACUGCAAUAUUUGCUUUAUUGCAGUGGUCUGAAAUCCAACCCGCAGUAUUUCUGAGGUAGGCAUGUAUAUGGAAGCACCCAGCUCCACACCUGGCACAAAGCUGAUGCUAAAAAAAAAAAUGGUAGUUUAAAUAAAUGUUCCUAUUGACAUAUACACACUACUGUAUAUAAAGCAGAUAACUAAUAAGGGCCUCCUGUAUAGCACAGGGAACUCUACUCAAUACUCUGUAAUGACCUAUAUGGGAAAAGAAUCUAAAAAAGAGUAGAUAUAUGUAUAUGUAUAACUGAUUAAUUUUGCUGUACACCUGAAACUAACACAACUUUGUAAAUCAACUAUAUG
Kogia breviceps (pygmy sperm whale) is the source of this 1908-nucleotide non-coding RNA. NCBI's taxonomy places the organism in Eukaryota, Metazoa, Chordata, Mammalia, Artiodactyla, Physeteridae. The record is from RefSeq and is a predicted model, not a curated record.